GUCUCAAAGAUUAAGCCAUGCAAGUGUAAGUACGAGCUCGAGUACAGUGAAACUGCGAAUGGCUCAUUAAAUCAGUUAUGGUUCAUUUGAUCGUACGCUUUAAUACAUGGAUAACUGUGGCAAUUCUAGAGCUAAUACAUGCGUGAAGCGCCGACUUUACGGGAGGCGCGCAUUUAUCAGACCAAAACCGACCGGGCUUCGGCCCGUACUGUAAUGGUGACUCUGGAUAAGCUCGCGGAUCGCACGGUCUUGCACCGGCGACAUCUCUUUAAAGCAACUGCCCUAUCAACUAUCGUCGGUACGGUAUCGGCUUACCGAGGUUGUAACGGGUGACGGAGAAUCAGGGUUCGAUUCCGGAGAGGGAGCCUGAGAAACGGCUACCACAUCCAAGGAAGGCAGCAGGCGCGCAAAUUACCCAUUCCCGGCUCGGGGAGGUAGUGACGAAAAAUAACAAUACAGGCCUCGUACGAGGCCCUGUAAUUGGAAUGAGUACACUUUAAACGCUUUAACGAGUAUCCAUUGGAGGGCAAGUCUGGUG
This 538-nucleotide ribosomal RNA is filed under the name Thaliacea sp. UR11. RNAcentral's name for it is "SSU rRNA". It matches the Rfam family "Eukaryotic small subunit ribosomal RNA", at positions 34 to 566 of the family's 1831-position model. Lineage: Eukaryota; Metazoa; Chordata; Thaliacea. The record is from RNAcentral.